Scylla paramamosain (green mud crab) is the source of this 1223-nucleotide long non-coding RNA. RefSeq lists it as uncharacterized. The record is from RefSeq and is a predicted model, not a curated record. The transcript has 3 exons. Lineage: Eukaryota; Metazoa; Arthropoda; Malacostraca; Decapoda; Portunidae.
AAGCGAGGAGCACCGGAGAACCGUACCAACACGCGCCGCAGUCAACAGGAUAGUGACUCAUUUCCACCAACAAAUAAACGGCACCGCCUAUCCCGGAUAGCGGAUCGCUCGAGUUGGCACCAUUCCCACAACCGAAAGGAUGGCAGGUGGUGCCGCGGUGAACACUGCCAACACGUGCAGGAGGAAAGGAAGGAUGGCAGGUGGUGCCGCGGUGAACACUUCCAACACGUGCAGGAGGAAAGUGCGUACCUGUUUCAUUACAUCAUGUGCACUCUGUUUUGGAACUCGAUGUUAAACUUUUUUUUUUCCAUGUCAACCGAAACCUGUCUGUUGCCUGCCUUUCUCCUGUCUGCUUCCCACGAAUCUAUGAAGGAAAGAAAGGAUGUGUCAGUAGUAUUAUCCAUUGAAGGAUUAGUUUAAACCUUUUUCCAGAGCGUUGUUUUUGUCUCCCAUUUUUCUGCCUUCCCAGGGUAUAUAUAUGAAAGAAGAAUGUAAAUUUAGUCUAUAACAUUCAUUGUAACAUGUAUUCCAGUCUUUGUGUGUUUAUUUUAGUGUAUGCAUAGAGAAAAGAAGGAUUCGAAACGUGGUAAUGAAAAGUACAAUAUUAAAUAAAUAGAUAAUAAAUAAGUGAAUAAAUAAAUAAAUAAAUAAAUGGAUGAAUUAAUGCAUACCCUAGAGAACAUUUCAUACCUACUGAGCUUACCAUAGCAAAUACACUGAUAUGCUACAAAAAAUGCACACAAGUAUAUGAAGAUGGAAAAAAAUGGGGGAAGUCUGUCUUGUGUUGUUGUUUCUAUGGUUACUGCUCUUCUGAAUUUGCCAUCAGCAUGCGUCUCUCCUUCCCCACGCUGACGCUACACAAGACUUUCACCUUUAUUCCGUUCCCUUUCAGUAGUCCAGGAGUUAAGCAAUAUCUUCAUUCUUUCAUCCCCUUCAUUAGUAAACUCUGGAAUUCUCUGCCUGUUUCUGUUUUUUCCCCUUCCUGUGACUAGUUGUUUUAAGAGCAUUGAGGCACUUCCAGAAACAUAUUUAGAUUUUUUAUUGUUGACUUUUUUUUCUUUUUUCUCUUAUUUUGUCUGUAUGUAUGGAAGCGGCAACUGAAAAGAUAUUUUUUUGUUCCUCUGUUUGCCAUUCGCCAAGAAGAUAUGAGAGUGUGAGUAUAAGUAGUGGCUAUAUGCAAAUGUUAGAAUACCAUUUUAUACUGACUCUAAAUUAAACAUGUG